RNAcentral lists this ribosomal RNA (465 nucleotides) under uncultured bacterium. RNAcentral describes it as "partial 16S ribosomal RNA". It matches the Rfam family "Bacterial small subunit ribosomal RNA", at positions 28 to 507 of the family's 1533-position model. The record is from RNAcentral.
GACGAACGCUGGCGGCGUGCUUAACACAUGCAAGUCGUACGGUAAGGCCCUUUCGGGGGUACACGAGUGGCGAACGGGUGAGUAACACGUGAGUAACCUGCCCACAACUUUGGGAUAACGCUAGGAAACUGGUGCUAAUACUGGAUAUGUGCCCCUGCUGCAUGGUGGGGGUUGGAAAGCUCCGGCGGUUGUGGAUGGACUCGCGGCCUAUCAGCUUGUUGGUGGGGUAGUGGCCUACCAAGGCGGCGACGGGUAGCCGGCCUGAGAGGGUGACCGGCCAGCAAGAGACUGAGAUGAGGCCCAGGCAGGUACGCGAGGCAGCAGUGGGGAAUACUGAAGAAUGAGCGCCAGGCUGGUGCAGCAGGUCCGCGGGCAGGAUGACGGCCUUCGGGGGGUAGACAGCAUGCAGAAGGGACGAAGCAUUUUGUGACGGUACCUGAAGAGAAAGCAACGGCUAACUACGUG